RNAcentral lists this ribosomal RNA (301 nucleotides) under uncultured bacterium. Its description in RNAcentral is "partial 16S ribosomal RNA". It matches the Rfam family "Bacterial small subunit ribosomal RNA", at positions 509 to 807 of the family's 1533-position model. The record is from RNAcentral.
CAGCCGCCACGGUAAAACGAAGGGUGCAAGCGUUACUCGGAAUUACUGGGCGUAAAGCGUGCGUAGGUGGUGGUUUAAGUCCGUUGUGAAAGCCCUGGGCUCAACCUGGGAAUUGCAGUGGAUACUGGGUCACUAGAGUGUGGUAGAGGAUAGUGGAAUUUCCGGUGUAGCAGUGAAAUGCGUAGAGAUCGGAAGGAACAUCUGUGGCGAAGGCGACUAUCUGGGCCAACACUGACACUGAGGCACGAAAGCGUGGGGAGCAAACAGGAUUAGAUACCCCCGUAGUCCCUGUCUCUUAUAC